AUCGCUUCUCGGCCUUUUUAUUAGAUCAAGUGUAGUAUCUGUUCUUAUCAGCUUAAUAUCUGAUACGAUCCCCGCAUGUUGGGGUCUCUUGAAAUAACCGUUUUUGAGAUAUCAACGAGUGCUAGGGGCUUGCUCCACCUUUGCCGCGGAUCGGCCCGGUAUUGCAGUACCUCCGGGAUUGGUCCACUCCCC
Molecule: small nuclear RNA, 192 nt
Filed under: Penaeus japonicus
Lineage: Eukaryota; Metazoa; Arthropoda; Malacostraca; Decapoda; Penaeidae
Description: U2 spliceosomal RNA
Rfam family: U2 spliceosomal RNA
About the family: U2 is a small nuclear RNA (snRNA) component of the spliceosome (involved in pre-mRNA splicing). Complementary binding between U2 snRNA (in an area lying towards the 5' end but 3' to hairpin I) and the branchpoint sequence (BPS) of the intron results the bulging out of an unpaired adenosine, on the BPS, which initiates a nucleophilic attack at the intronic 5' splice site, thus starting the first of two transesterification reactions that mediate splicing.
Source: RNAcentral